CAGCAGCCGCGGUAAUACAGAGGCCUCAAGCGUUGUUCGGAUUCAUUGGGCGUAAAGGGUGCGUAGGUGGCUUGGUAAGUUGAAGGUGAAAUCUCGGGGCUUAACCCCGAAACUGCCUUCAAUACUGCUAGGCUCGAGGACUGUAGAGGAGAAUGGAAUUCACGGUGUAGCAGUGAAAUGCGUAGAUAUCGUGAGGAAGACCAGUGGCGAAGGCGAUUCUCUGGGCAGUUCCUGACACUGAGGCACGAAGGCCAGGGGAGCAAACGGGAUUAGAUACCCGCGUAGUCCCUGUCUCUUAUAA
Molecule: ribosomal RNA, 301 nt
Filed under: uncultured bacterium
Lineage: Bacteria
Description: partial 16S ribosomal RNA
Rfam family: Bacterial small subunit ribosomal RNA
Source: RNAcentral